CCCUGAAAGAGUUAAGAGGAGGGCUCCUCCUUUCCUUUACAUAAGUCUCCUCCUGGGUGACCUUCCCAGCAGCCUUUGCUGGCUCUGCCCCAACCAAACAAAGAGGGCAGGAGCUUUUCAAACAACAGCCUCCCAUAAAGUUGGCUGCUGCAGAGCUGGGCUGUGCUGGGACCCUGGCACACCGGAGGAUGCGGCAGCGGCAGCAAGUUGGUGUCAUCACCUGGGAGGAUCCCGGCAGUCGCCUUUAGUCCCUGCUCGGGGCAGUGCCGUCUCCAGACCGGACGGUCAGGCUCUGCAGCACCAACGUUUCCAUGCAGUUGCUGUCAAACGUGGGCAUCCCCAGUUCUACUCAUCAUAACCUUCCAGGCCACCAAGGAGACGCAAGGCUCCAGCAGGGACCUGCCAGCCUUGUGUGAUGAACUGCCGCUUGCCAGGACUCACACUGAGCUCCUCGGGAUGCUGAGGUACUGCUCGGGACCCUGAUCACUCCCGAUUCCUCGCUGUGCUGCUGGCAGUGGGGAAUCGAUGUCCAGUUUGGGACACUGGGCAGAGCCGAUCCAUUACCAUUGUCUGUGUUCUUGAGGGACUGGGGCACUGGGCUGGACGCCACGCUCUGAGGGGGCUCCGCAUGAACAAGGGACAAGGUUUGGGCUGUCCCUAGUUGCUCGGGUGGGAAGACCUGCCUCCUUCCUCCUCUCUGUCUGGGAAGUGGGUCACUGCUGGAAGCUGGGGAUGUUGCCACGUGGAGCAGUGGCCAGGCCCAGCAGCCUGGUGGCAGAGAGCUAGCUGAGCCCGGACACCCUGGUGCUGCCCGGGGGGCUGCAGUGUCCCCACGGCAGCCCUGCUCCGGGGAUGUAGGUGCUGGGUGCAGGAGGUGCUGGGAGCGAUGGGCAGGCUGGACGACCAUGCCAAGAGGAGGAUCGUGGAGCUGCGCAGGGCUGGGCUGAGCUUCCGCAAGAUCAAGAAGGUGCUGGAGCUGGACGACAUCCAGGUGACGCCGCAGGCUGUGUACCUCUUCCUCAAGCGUAAGAGCGUGGAGCCGGGGCCGGUGGCAGCUGGCUGGGAUGGGGACCAGCCCUGGCCACCACUGCCAGGGCAUGAGGCUGAGCCACCCGAGCUGCUAGGUGCCCGGCCCCCGACAAUGCCUGGCGGGGUCCCUGCGGGCAGCCGAGUCCCCUGCCCUGCUGGUGGCCAGGACACCAAGGAGGGCAUCCAAAUUGUCGGCGUGGCCUCACUGUGCAAGGAUGGCAGGCAGCUCAGGGAGAACCUGCCUGUGGGACUGCCCCCCAGGAAUGAUGAUGACAGCUCUGCAGGUUCUCCCUUGGCUCCAGGGAGCUGCCACCCUCUGGGGAUGCCAGCCACCCCCCCACAGUCCCUGCCCAGCCCAGGGCGGUUGGUUGCACCCCCUGCCAGGAACCCAGCCCUGAUGGUGAAGAAGAAGAUGGUGGACAGGGCUAUCCUCCUGCAGAAAACGGUCACAGAUGCCAGCACUCAAACUGCCCUGCUGAACCCUGCAAGUCCUGGAAAUCAAAGCACUGCUUGGGCAGGACCAGUACUUCCCCCUGCUCCCAGCUCCAUUGCUGAAAAGCUGGAUGCUGUACAGAUGGAGGUCCAGAAGCUGAGCCAGGCCCUGCAGGCAGUGCUGGAGCGGCAAUGCCGCUUGGAGCGGCAGCAGGAGCACCAGCAACGGCUGCAGCAGGAGGUGCUGAUGACACUGCAGCAGCUCAGUUCCACCGUGAGCCACAGCAUGGUGCCAGCUAACCAGCCCUGUGUCCCCUUCAGCAGUAUGGCUGAGCCCUCGCCCACUGUGCCAAGCUUCAGCCAGUUCAAGAUGGAGCUCAUCUGACCUCACCUGAUGCCAGUAUGCUCCAGCAGUGCUACACUGGUGGCAGGAUGAAGUCAUGAAGAAGAACCCCCUCUCAGAGGCUGUGGCAGCUGCCUAAAGAUUAUUUGGAGCACCCAGCAGAGAAGGUCACUGGUGUCUCAUGUUUUCAGCCCUGUUGAUUGAAAAGAAAGAGCUGCCUGGGACAAGGGGCAGGGCAAUGGAAAGAUGAGGCCUUGCUUCUCCCAUGCUGCCCAUCCUGGCUGACACUGGAGCUGGCUGGUGGCAGGCUGCCUGCAAGUAGAAGAUACAACUAAGAGAGACACACUAGGGAGGUGGGUCUCAAAGAAAAUGUGAGGCUUCCUCUCACGUGGGUCAGUGCCAUGACGAUGAAUCACAGAAAUGCUUUGUGCCCUCUCUCCACAGAGCCUUGUUCAGUAAAAAUCUCCAUACACCAUGGUUCAGAAACUGUGGGGUCUCAUUCUUCAUCUUACCUACCCCUUACCCCACCAGCGAACAGGUUGGAUCUGUCUU
RNAcentral lists this long non-coding RNA (2356 nucleotides) under Calidris pugnax (ruff). RNAcentral's name for it is "lncRNA (ENSCPUG00000010952.1)". Lineage: Eukaryota; Metazoa; Chordata; Aves; Charadriiformes; Scolopacidae. The record is from RNAcentral.